AGUUUGAGUAGGAAAAUUGAUAUGAAUAAGAUGUUAAUAAAAUAAACUCUUGUUUAAUAUGUUGUGCUCUAUUUUCAUAAGCUAGCGUGGUCGAACCUGUCGUAAAACUGUGUCGUAAAGUUUUCCAGCGACUUACUUUUCCGCCUAUUUGUCCGAUAAAUCCCGUUUCUACGUUCUCCUUAUUGGAUACUCUUGGUGUCUGGCUUAUGAGUAUGAAGUACUAGCCAAUCACGGAGCGAGGGGCGGGGUUUCUGGAUGUGGGUGGGAGACAGAUAGAAAUUCUUAGGCUGAACUUCUUCCGGUCUCUUUCUUUCUGUUCGCUUUGCCUAGCUGACAUGGACAAGAACAUGGCGCCUUUAACUGGGUAAAUAUAUUCGUUUUGGCAUUUAAUUCACUAUUUUUUUUAACGUUGUACGCUCUGUUUAGACACCAUGCCUAAUUAAGAGCAGUUUUAACCACAUAUGUAAGACUCCACGUUGACUUUUCGUGUAUAAGCCGCCACGUGCUGAAGCCAAGCAGCUUGGAGGGUAAAUUUAAUUAAGUUGGAAUGUAAUUUGUAGGAAAUCUUUUCAAUCGUAUCAUCCUAUCUUUUCUUGAGCAACGAGCACAGUUUCUCAACACGAGCUGUGAGUUUAGCUAAGCUAGUCAGGCGGUGCCAUGCUGCACGGGCUGGCGCACGCGCUGCAGCUCUUCUUCUCUAUGAAAGCCAUGUGAAAUCGUCCACAAACUGGAAUUUCUUCCUCUGUCAUGGAUCAGUUCCACUGAUUGCAUGGCUACAUAAUGUCCAGGUUUGCUUUCAUCUCUGCACCAUUGAUUGCUGAGGUGACAAUGAGGCCUGGGACAUCUUUAACACUAUCCUACUCCUAACAUCACUAACGCAUCACGUGCAUGUAUUUACACUUCUUUUUGUUGUUGUUCCCCUUUUCAGGAUGCCUGGGUGUUUAUGUUUUCCUGCAUCACUGGUGCAUCCAGAGCUUCCAAAAGUAAUGGCAAGUAAUUCAUUUCUCCUAACUAUGGAUGUGCACAGUCCUAGUUACGGCCUAGUGAUGGUGGGCUUAGUGAUGAACUAGUACAGUGCAAAGAGUACAACUCUGUUCUCAGCAACUCACUGCUGUGCUCAAAUCAUAGCAGUGCUACUUAUGGGAAUGGACAUUUUUAUAAAAAUAUUUAUUUAUUUAUUUAUUUUGCUUAUUACAACCUGGAUCAAUUCAAACCCAUAGUAACCUUUUGGUUGUCUUCUUCAGGUCAUGGAUAGCCAUCCUGGCCAAACUUGAGCUCUGCCGACGCGACCUGGGUUGCGACCUUCAUGAAGAUGUUGGUGCAGCAUACAAGUAAGCAAGCUGUAGUUUUUCCCCUUUACCACAAAUUUCCUGAGGUCUAUCCCGACUGGCCCCUCACAGUAGAGUCGUGUCGUUGGAAAUGCCUCAAAGACGAACUCUGUGGUAUAGCUUUACCCAUCGUGUUACUCCCGUUAACUCUGUGGGCAAAUGCUGCAGGACAAAACGUUUGCACUGUGCACUUCUGACUUCAGGACAAAUCCAAAGGGAAUCAAUUUUAUCCGCGUUAACCUUUCCGAUUUAUUUUUAUUUGCUCAUAUUAACGUUUUCUUCUCAUUGAUUAUUCGUGUCCAGGGGCUGCACGCCUCCUCAGUUAAUAUUCGUCAGUGCAUUAUCACUGACAGUGAACGUUUCCAUAUGGUUUAUAAAAAGGUGUAGACCUAAUGGAUUGUUUUAGAUUCUUGGCAGGUAAGGAACCAUUUUAGAUAAAGGUUUCAACCGUUCAAAUGGACUGUUCCAUUUGGAUUUGUGAAAUAUUGGGAACAUUUAAUGUUUAAGAAAGUGAGUUGUAACACUCUGUGUGCUGUUCUUGUUGCAGCUCUGGUGUCCAGACGAGGGCGCACUUGUCCCACAGCUGGUGAGUGUUGAGCCUGAAUUUCAUGACAAGUUGGUUGAAGGUUGUUUUGAUUUUACAUUUUUCCAGCACUGUGUGGUAUCUGCAUCCAGUCGUAUAUAUCUAACUGGAUUGUUCAAAUGGCAGUGCAAGAGCAACUCGAACACCUUCCGCCAUGGACCUUAUAGCCUUCGUGCGUUGGGUCCAAGGUGGUGACGAGACAUGCCAUGGCUUUAAAAAAAAAAACUCUCCUAGAGUAUUUCUUUUGAUCGCGUGCUUAAAUUGACUUUCUGUUUUGUAGGAACGUCCGUCCUGAGAGACCCUUGCGUUAACGAUGUGGUGCUGUUUAAUGAUUGGUAUGUAUACAUGUCCGUUUAUCCAUCCAGGUUCACACCUACUUCCUGUGUCACUUCAGUAAGCACUUUUUACGGCACUGCUCAAGCAUUUCCCCACAGUCCUAAAUAUUAGAGGAAAUCUUGGGUAUUGCAUAUGUGUGAACUAUUGCGAGGUGUUUGCUGCGUUGUGCUGAUGGGAUUCAAAGCUGGCUGGUUGUUGGAUCACUUCAUGUUUUAAAAGAAAUUCAUAAUUUAAUUUGGCAUGGUAGAAGAGAACCAACAAAUAUAAAACAAUGGAUAGAAAUUGUAAGGGAACAUGUGUUGGUAAAAAAUGACUUCCUGUCUAUGGUUGAAGGAAAGUGGUGUUUGUUUUUUUUAAUUAAAUGGAGGGGUAUGAUUAUAUAACAAUACAUAUGGGUGAAGGACAUGCAAAUACAAGGAUUUUUUCGUGUAAUGCUCCAUUAUAACCUUAGACAAUCUUGUUCUCUCCCUGCCUAGUUUGAUUGUGAUGUGUUGUCUCGUUAUAUAUGCAUGCACGCACCUGUGAUGGUUAACUAGAAGCAUGUAUGACCAUGACUCAUUUUAGGUUGGUGAGGAAAAUCCAGCAAUUAUCAGUUUUAUAGUUUUAUUUCAGUAUUUGUUUUUUCAGUGAGCUUUCUGACAAACGUGGAUUUCUUGAUUUUGAUUUCUCAGUGAGAAUCAUCAAUCAGCCAAUUUUAUUGGUGGAAACCAUAAUCCACUUUUUCCCAAAGUUUCCCUCUUUGGUGUGAAUAAAUACUGCACCCAAAUAUUACCAAACACGGUCAGCACUGUUUCAAAUGCCUUAAAUGUUUCUGCAUUAUUUAACAUGAACAAACUAUUAACCCUAAGCAGUAGUUGACAAUCAGUAAAAUUCUGCCAAACAAAGCAAGUUUGCCAAGGACCAAUUCAUUAAGCAGUGUUUAUUCCAUGAGAGAGAAUCGGGCGUGGGCGUUCCAUAACGUUUGUGCUGGCUGAUUUGGUGCCUGCCAAUGCCGUCACCCAAAGCCCUAGUUUCAGUACUGACGUUUUUAGUGUUGUGCUGAAAUGCAGUGCCGUUUGUGAAACCCUCGCUUGUUUUGUCGCCGUUAUUUUUUGCGGCUGCUGUGUUUCACAUGCCCGGUUUGAGGCCGUGCCGUCAGGCUUUAGCCAGCGAGCGCGCGCACACGAGCACUUGUGGUAUUUUCACAUGAAUUCAGCCACAGCUCUAACCCCCGAGCCUUGACCUGCACUAGUCAGCGUCUAGAAAGAUUUGUUGAGCUGAAAAAAACUGUAAUCAUUAAUUUAACCUGUUUGCAGGUCCAUCCUGAGACUGCACUGAGAUUCAGGAAUCCAAGUCAGGUUUUGAAGUGGGCACAUUGUCGUGGCCGUGGGCUUCUCCGAAACGAACGGUGAGACUCUCUAAGCAGCAGACGGGAUCACAUUUCAAAGGGGGUCAGCCACGUAUCACCACUGGCGAUCCUUAACGCCGUGAUCCCACAUCAGCGCCCUGAGAGAUACCGUGCAGGUUUCUUUUGGAUUGACGAGAUGCCUGCUGUCUGAAGGGCAACAUUUCAAUCUUUUGCAACAUAACGUCUCCGAUACUGAAAAGCAUUUGCAGGCUUUCAGGGACUGCAGUUGUUUACUUUGCACCUCAUUGGUUGGUCAUGUGAUGGACAGUAGUAUCGCUCGGGGGAAGUUCAUGACCGUAGUCCUGCUGUACAGCCGCAAUAAGCAUUCAUUAGCUUUAUAAGAACGCAGUGACGUCUAUAUACGUAAAAUAAUGGGCACAAAGGAUGACAUAAACGCUUUAUUGCGAUGUACAGGACUAAUUUGUAACUUUAGUGCUCGUGUUAUUCCCGUUUAUGAUAUCCUCUGACCUUGGGUUUUUGUUUUUUUGUUUUCUUCCUAGUUCAACAGAUGAACCAGGAAGUCUGCUGAUGAACAAAAGGAUGUCUGCGUGGCUCUCUGUAAUGUUUCCAAUAAAAGUAUUUGAGAUCUGAUGUGUAGGUUUGAAAUGUUUUGUUUUAUCUAAAAACGAAAGCUUGUUUUUAUCCCAUUGUAUUUGUCUCUGUGGUUAACAUGUACAGUACUAACUUCCUUUUAUACCAGAGGAACUACUUGGGUUUUUUUUUUUUUUUUCUGUCUCAUGUUGUCACGUGUUUUUGUUCUUGGGUCGUGUGGGCUUUCUGGCGUCUUGCACAACACGUCCUUCUGGGAAUAUCGUAACGCCAUCAUGCCUGCUUUCAGCAGUUCGUAAUGGGUUUGGUUGUGUUGUAAGAGGUUAGACACGGACAUGUGACAUCUCGCUGUUUAUUGAGAUGUACCCCUACGACGCGGCUUACCCGUCUACCGCCAUUUUGAACUUGUUUAAGGUAAACGAUGAUAUCCGGUAUGAUGAACGAUGACAUGGUGUGAUUGAAACAGGAGGCUGCAUCCUUGUAGGUGUUUAUUGAAAGCGUCAUGGCACAUAAACGCAGAGCCGUUCGUGCGUCACCCGGAUGAUCACAGGAAUACAGAGAGCACUUAAGCAGCAUUAAGACGGGAGACUUUCUGCCAAGCAGAGACUCUGCUCUUGGCGUUUCCCACGGGUCAUGGGAUGCAGAUUAAAGGAUUCUCUUCAGAGAGCACAGCUUUCAGCUCUCCCUUCUUCCCCCCCGUUUGUUUGGCUGAAAGUGCUGCUGUUUGAGAUGUUCCAGUCAGUUUUAUUUUAUACUGAAUCAAAUGUGCUGAGAAAUGGAAAAGGAGGUAGAACAGGCAUCAUGGCUUAUGGCCUGAUGUAGUUUAGCUAUGAUUUAAACUGAUGGUAACGAGUGUAUUUGUGAAGCCUACUUAAUGACACUGAGUUGUUUUUUUUGGCUUUUAUUGUUGAAAGCUGAGGCUCAUGUUAUUAAAAGUUGGUAUGAGCCUAAUUGCUCCCUUGAGUGUGCUCAGUCACAUGAAUUUGUUUCUUAUAGGAUGUUCAUAGGAAACUAUCAAAUCUACGUUUGUAACUGGUUAUGUGGGUCCAAAGUUCAGGAAUAAGAAACUCGAUGCUUCAAUACAUGUGCUGGUAAAUAAUUGGUUUUUGACUCUGUUCUAUGGUCGAUAAGGCAUAUGGGGACUUUUUCUAUCCUCACUGCCAUCCCCCCCCCCCCCCCCCCUUGCAAUUUUUGGUCUCACAAACUGAAGGUGCAACCUCAAACAAUAAAAUAAAAACAAUAAACGCUGAAGCACUGUCCUUGGCUCAUGUUUUCGCACUUGGGUUCUUGCAGUCUGCUGAUUUGUGUUCCCUCUGGUUCCGGAUAUGGGGGUUCAGGAAAUGUAUGUAAUGACUGAGCUUUCUGCUCAUUAGGCGAAGGAACAUGUCUGGAUCCCACCGAGGCCCGAUCUUUGAAGCGCACCCGAUCAAUAAGAAGGGUUUUAAAAUGAUAUUGCAUACUAGACUAAUGAUUAAGCUUUGCUUUAGCUCAGUUAUUCGAUGGUAAUAAUAGUGUUGUUCAAUAUUCUCCACGUUUAUGGAGACUAACAAAUGACAGGUUGCUUAGUCUUCCAGGCUUGUCUCUGUUCUUUAAAAAGCAUUGAGGUGUGAAUUUUCUAAACUGGGCAAAAUACACCCCCCCCCCCCCACACACACUUUCUUCACCAGCCUGUUCUCAGUACUCAAAUAUCAUUAUCAAAGUGACGAGCCUAUUCCUCUAAUCUAUUUUUGGCUCCUCUGAAUAAAUUCAAGGUACAACAUGCCAAGCACAUGAGCCUAAGUAGCAUCAGCUACUUGAUGGUCAUUACGUAACAUCAGCUAAUGUGAAGGCCUGAGAUCUCAUCAGCCAAUACGAUAAUGAAGUUUCAAGCAGAACGGACAGCUGUCCUUUGGACCCAUGUGUGAUUGAGCUUGUUUGGGAGAUCAAAUUGGCCUCAGGAUCUUAUCAGUGCUGUACACAAAGAAGGCCUGUGUUUAUGACCCUGUGGGGCAAAAAAAAAGCCUGAUUACCAGCCUGACAUGACUUGUGAAUUAUUAAACUGCUGCCUACCUUUUAAAUACAGUAACAUGAUGGUCAAACUGAAUACUGUAGGGAAUUAAGUCAGUAAUGUUGGAUGCCAUUAUGCCUUGUUCGUGUAUGGGUUGUUUUUUUUUUUUCUCCCCCAUAAAGUAAUACUCAGAAGUGUUUCAUUUCAAAUCAUUGAUGAUGUUUUCAAAAAGUG
Ictalurus punctatus (channel catfish) is the source of this 6404-nucleotide long non-coding RNA. Lineage: Eukaryota; Metazoa; Chordata; Actinopteri; Siluriformes; Ictaluridae. The record is from Ensembl.